GAUGAACGCUGGCGGCGUGCCUAAUACAUGCAAGUCGAGCGAAUGGAUUAAGAGCUUGCUCUUAUGAAGUUAGCGGCGGACGGGUGAGUAACACGUGGGUAACCUGCCCAUAAGACUGGGAUAACUCCGGGAAACCGGGGCUAAUACCGGAUAACAUUUUGAACCGCAUGGUUCGAAAUUGAAAGGCGGCUUCGGCUGUCACUUAUGGAUGGACCCGCGUCGCAUUAGCUAGUUGGUGAGGUAACGGCUCACCAAGGCAACGAUGCGUAGACGACCUGAGAGGGUGGUCGGCCGCACUGGGACUGGGACACGGCCCAGACGCCUACGGGAGGCAGCAGUAGGGAAUCUUCCGCAAUGGACGAAAGGCUGACGGAACAACGCCGCGUGAGUGAUGAAGGCUUUCGGGUCGUAAAACUCUGUUGUUAGGGAAGAACAAGUGCUAGUUGAAUAAGCUGGCACCUUGACGGUACCUAACCAGAAAGCCACGGCUAACUACGUGCCAGCCGCCGCAGUAA
Molecule: ribosomal RNA, 515 nt
Filed under: uncultured bacterium
Lineage: Bacteria
Description: partial 16S ribosomal RNA
Rfam family: Bacterial small subunit ribosomal RNA
Source: RNAcentral